CCCCAACUUUGUCUCUUGCUUUUUAGUUUAAACUGUCCCCUAUUAGGGACCCCCUUCUCCCUGUUCUUUUCUUUUCUUGGAACCCUCCUUUCGGGUCUCUUUGGAGAUGCUGUAUGCUGGUCAUGCAAAGUUUUGACGCUACGGAGAUCCCCUUCGUGGAAACAGACCCAGCCCCCUCACCCUCAGGAGGUCAAACAGUUUUUGCAGGCUGCAAAAAAGACUCUAAUUAGCCGAAGGAUAAGAAUUAGGAAGGUCAGGAAACAAAAAGGAACUUCAGGAAUAUCAAGGAGGUCCGGCUGGAAUGCCAGGUAACAUAUAGCUAACUAGGGAUGUGAUUAAGUAACCGUGAAAGUAAGGAGCCCCUGAGGACAAACCUAAGGAUCUCUGACCUCACAUCACUAUGUUUGUGAUAAGGUUUGUUCGAUUGUCAAAUAAGAAUCUUUAUGUGAAGGGAAAUAACUUUAUAUCUUAUAACCUAUCUAUAUAAGUUUAUAAUUGAAUUUGGGGGUGUCUGAAUUCGUUUUACGAAGUGCUCCACUGCAAUAAGAGUAAUGAAUAGAGAUACUAACUGAUAUUCUUAAAUUCUAGUAUGAAUUAGAUAUAAUUGUAAUAAUGUUGAUGGAAUUUAAUCAGGAAUAUAGCAAUAUUUUAGGCUAAAUAAAAACUAAACUGUAGGUUUUAUUCUACUUUAGACAGGUUUUGAGGAAUGCAUGUAAAUGCUUUGUACUUCAGUUUGGUUAAACACUGAAACAUGGCUAAAGGACUUAAUCAAAGUUAUUUGGGAGUUGUGGAGUUUAAACUAAAAUCCACGAGAGUAAAUUAUUAUGAAAAAGGUUUGAUAAAUUCAAUAUUAUAGUAAGCUCACUUGUUAAAGAAGGAUGGGCCAAGGCUGUUAAGAAAUAAAUCUAAAUUGAGCCAAGGAGCCUUACGAUAAAUUGCUCAGAAGCUAUUAACCCCUUCCUUGCACACAGGAAGGAGAAAGAAGUUCCACACUAAUACUUGUGAACUGAAAUAGGGAUCUCAAAGAGUUAACAACCACUGUGUGAUAGAACUUAAGAUAAGUGUAUUUUAAUUGUAGAUUCAGAGGUUUUAAGAUGCUCAAACAAGCAAACUUUGCCAGGCCUGGUCUGACCAAGUAGCUUGUUUGAAGCCGUGAAUUUUAGUGCAAACAUUCCAUGUUGUAAAGAUUAAAAUUUAGGAAUAUGGGGAGACUGAGGCAGGUAGAAAUUAGUUUCUCUCUGCAAGAAGUAUAUUUUUUAGAGGUUUAUUAAAGGUUAAAGAUUAAAGAAUAUACAAGUAAGAAACAUGUGCCUAGGCCAGAGGCCUAGACAAAAUAACCUCACAUCACGCAAGAGACGCGCCUGCUCCAAAACGGAAGUCCAAAAGAGCCCCCCAAAACCUUUGCCACCAGCUUAAAUCCUUCCUCAAUCUCGGCCCACCUCAGAAUUCCCAUGAGAUUACAAAGCAUUUUGGGGAAGUGGAGCAAAGGCUUGUGGGGAUUGUAGUCCUGUAUUCGAGUCUAUUUUUUACAGUGUCCAGAAUGAUAAGAUUAUUCAGCCAACAAUAUGUAGCUUCAGCCCUUCAUUCUGUAAGACUACACUUUCCUGCUCUGUACAUCAUCCAUUAUAUGGAUGAUAUUCUUAUUGCGGCUGAAGAUGAAUCCCAAAUAAGCAAAUGCUAUCUAUAGUCAAUUGGAAAUUACCUUGCAAAAAUACCAUUUAGUUAUUGCUCAAGAAAAGAUUCACAAAACAAGUCCCGUACUCUAUCGAGGGGCUCAGUUAUAUGCAACAUCCAUUAUGCCUCAAAAAUAUAAUUAAGAAAGGACUGCUUUAAUGAUUAUCAGAAAUUGUUAGGUGAUAUCAAUUGUGUCAGGCAAUAUUCAUUUCUUACUACAACUGAAUUACAACCUUUAUUCAAAAUACUGGAAGGGAGUUCUGACUCGAAUUCCCCUGGAACUUUGACACCUGAGGCCUCUCUUGCUUUAGAGAUAGUAGAAGAUAGAUUGAAUCAGGCUCCACUUAACCAUUAUUAGCCUCAAUUAGCCGUGGAAGUGACUAUUUUUGCAACUUUAAUGUUACCAACAGGUGCCUUAACUGAGAAACAGAGUCAUUGAAUGGUUACAUCUAAAAAGCAAAACAGGAAAGGCUUUACAGAGUUAUGACUGUCUGAUGGCUCAAUUAAUAUGGAAAGGCAGAGAACAUGUGGUCUGAGGUUUAGGACGGUGUCCUCAUGAAGUCCAGGUACCCAUUGCUAAAGAUAUACUACAGAAAUAUUUAGUCUUUGCUAUUAGCAUACCCCAUUGCUAUUACCACCGACACUCCACAAGGUUUAUUUUCUUUUUUGUCACAACAUCCUAUUGUUUUUCCUAAUAUUCUAAGAGAUUGUCCGGUAUCAGGACCUAAUGUUUGUGUUGAUGCAAAUGCUAAUUACAAGACAGGAGUAUACAAGCAAGGCAGUUCACCUGUCAUUUUUACACUCCUUUUUCUUCUACCCAACAAAAUGAAUUAACAGCUGUUUGACUAGCUUUUUGGUUAUUUCAGGAGCCUUUCAACCUCAUAAUGGACUCUAAAUAUGUUUUUCAGUCUUUGCAGGGUAUAGAACAAGCUGUCAUCAGAUCUACCCAAAGCAAUGUGCAAAUGUAAAUUACAAACUGUCCUAUGACAAAGGACACAUCCAGUAUAUGUCAUGCACAUACACAGUCAUACCAAUCUGCCUGGACCUAGUUUUAAAGGAAAUGACAUCAUAGAUCAAGCUUUGAUUGCUCCGUGUUAUCUAACUGAUAUACAAUUAGCUGAGGAAUCACAUCAUAGAUUUCACCAAAAUAGUCCCGCUUUAUGCCAAAUGUUCCAAGUCACUAAAGAUCAAGCCAGAAGUAUUGUUAAAAAGUGUCCUAAUUGUGUUCCAAACCACCCCCCAAUGCAUAUUGCUGUGAAUCCCAGAGGCUUAAAUAGUACAGAGAUAUGGCAAAUGGAUGUGACCCAUGAACCGUCCUUUGGGCCACUUAAAUAUAUCCAUGUCACUGCGGAUACUUAUUCAGGAUUUUUAUGGGCUUCCUGCUUGAUGGGAGAAAGAACUUCUCAUGUUGUUAAUCACUGCUUAAUGACUUUUGAGAUGGCCGGUCCCCCCAGAACAUUUAAAACAGAUAAUGGACCUGCUUAUACUUCCAAACAAUUUUUUCUUUUUUGCCACACUUGGGCUAUUCACCUCACAGGUAUCCCACACAAUCCACAAGGACAAACCAUUGUGGAGCACAGUAAUCAGAUCUUAAAAACAUUUCUUUUAAAACAAAAAGGGGGAGACAGCAUCCCACAUGGAUGAUUGGCAAUAGCUAUAUAUACUAUACAUAAUCUGAUCUUUACUUCCAAUAAUAUACCCAGAGCUGAAAAAUUUUUCUCUGCAUUUUCUUAUGAAUGAAAUUCAGGCACCGCUCCUGUGCUCCCUGCCCCAGAACAAAAACUUGGCAUGUGGAAAGAUGAUAAUCAAACUUGGCAAGAGGCAAGGACUACCCGGUGGUCCUGCAAGGCCGAGGUUCGGUUUGCGUCUCCACAGGUAAAGACAGAGUAUGGCUCCCUCCCCGCCGAGUUCGAGAAAUGGACCAUAAAGAGAAGGACAAGGAGAGGACGCAGGAAGCCUCGCAAGGAGACUCGACAACGUCUCCAUAAGAUACUGACUCUUCUGCUUCUAUUCCAGACUUUAAGUGCAGCUACUGGAGUACAGAGAUGGUCUUUGGGGAACAACCCCCUUGGGUAGAGUAUGUCGGCAUGGGACACGCUUUACCGGAAGUCAUCUUAUAUACAAAAACUGACUGAUAUUCCUGGCAUUUACCAUUUUGAGAGACAAGCUAAGGACAACAAUCAGGACAACAAUUUGUUUGUGCCUUUCAAUUGGACUGGACUAGUUGAGGCACCCCCAGUGGGCCUCGCACGAGACCAUCCUGCAUGCCUGCCCCUCAGAUCUCUGCAGGUGCGUUAUUAUGGUCAUUCUGACCUGUCAGACUCUUUCUGGAUAGGACCUUAUUGUGUAGAUAAAAGGGAAAAAUAUGAAGAUUAUGGCCAACUGCAAUAUCUAGGUUGGCUGGGGGAAUCUUGGGAUAGUAUUUGGGGACAAGAAAGACCUAUUUGUCCAUAUGUGAUGGGAUAUGAACAAAGAGACUCUGUUAAUAUGUUUCUGCCCUUGCUGUCAUGUCGAUCUAAAAGGGCAUCAUGUAGUCAUUGGAAAAAUAUGAUUUGGGUGUCUUGGCAUAACGACACUAGGUAUACUGGAAAGAAAUUGGAUUCUUAUAAAUUUCAUGAUUGUUUUAUAGGAUAAGCUCGCCUUUGUGGGUGACGCCCCCAGAGCUAAUUGGUUACAUUCUGCUAAUUUCACACAGAUUUUGACUGAUUAUGGAAAGAUAGCCCUGGCAUUGGAAAAAGUAAAUAUGUCUCAUUAUGUUAAUGUUACUUAUAACGGAAAAGUCCAAAAACCAGUAACUAGAAGUGUUACAUUAGACAUUCAAGGUAAACACUCAGGGGGAUGGUAUCACUCACCGGCAGAGAGAGCAAUGGAAAAAUUGUCUCAACUAAUCAACCCUAGGAAUAGAAGAUGUAUUUCUUGCUUGGUUUUAGGAAUUGUAGCUCUUAUAGCCGCCAUAACAGCUACAACUGUCAGUAGUGUUUCUCUAGCACAAAAUGUAGCUAAUGUACAGACCCUGGAACAUGAUGCGGCAUACUUACACGGGCUAGCACAGAAUGUAACCCAGGUUUUGCACUUACAGCAAGAUAUUAAUACAAGGGUUUUUUAUGCUUUACAACAAAUAUCUAAAGAUGUAUCGUUAUUAACCAAUCAAGUAGAAAUUUUAGCUAUUAAGGGGAAAUUAAGGUGUGAUUAUCGCUAUUCAGCCUUUUGCCUCCUUCCUGUUAAAGCUAACACGUCUGAUGCAUUUGAAGAAAUUAGAAAUGAUUUACAAGGUCUUUGGUUAAAAAGUAACAUCUCAGAGGAUAUCCAACAACUGAACCAUAUCAUUGAUGAGAUGGAUAGCUCUUUAGCUGAGGACCUUCAUCCUAAACAAAUUGCUGAUUCCUUAUACAAUUGGAUUAAAUCAGGCCAAAGUUGACUAUCUCCUUUAGCUCAAAUGAAUAUAACCAUAUUGACUUUCAUACUGUUCAUAGUUAUCUUGGUGAUCCUUCUUCCCUGUCUGUUCCAACUCCUUUUGUCCAGCUUGGGCAAAAUUGGCUGGACUUUGGCCCUCCACAGAUUACUGUGGCAAAACAAAAAGGGGGAAUUGUAGUCGAGGCAGAGCCUCCUCUCUCCUUUGUUUGUCUUUGCUUCAGACAAAGAUGUGGAUUAACCUUUACCCAUCCUGGGACCAAGGAUGGAACAGUAAACAUGAAGGAAGCAGGAUAACAUUUAUGAAAAGCAAAUUGUGAUAAGGUGGGCGCCUAUCCCCUUGUCUGCCCCUCUUCCCCUUGUUUGGAUUUGCAUUAGAUGAAGAUGUGGAUUAACCUUUGAACACCUGCCUAUCCCUGAACCAAGGUUAGGGUUUCUGGAAUGAAGAAUCAUAAAUUCCUGUGGGUUUUGUCUAAGUAGUCUUUGCCUAUAAAAGUUCUGUGUGAAGCAAAUAAAUUUGGCACUAUUUCUCUCUUUCA
Molecule: non-coding RNA, 5624 nt
Organism: Monodelphis domestica (gray short-tailed opossum)
Lineage: Eukaryota; Metazoa; Chordata; Mammalia; Didelphimorphia; Didelphidae
Source: RefSeq, a predicted model, not a curated record